AGAAAACAAAGCUCAUCAAUGAAGAGAGUUGCAAGCCUGGCGCCACCUAGCGGCCCAAUCUGACCUCACGUUAUUGUAUUUUCCUGAAGAGUUUGGUUACGCUGCUUGUCACUAGAGGCUUUUGCUCUUAUUCACCAAACAGAUCUUUAUUAAGCGUCUACUGUAUGCAAAUCAUUGCUGGUGUGAAACAAUACAGAAAAGAAUUGAGUCAAAAAAAUUACCUGCUUCUCUUGGAGACACGUCCCGCCUUACCUUUGUCUCUUAGAUAUCUAAUUUGAAAAGUUGUACAUAUUUGACUCUUGUCAGAAUGAGGUGAACUCCCAGAUGAAGAUCUGCAAAGAAGAGUUGGGGUAAAUGUUGACAAGGUACUAGCACGCGGCAGCGGCCACACCCCGGGCAAUGGCUUCGACAGGCCGGCCAAACCUUGUGAGGGUAGCCAUCGGGUCGACGUUGAUCCCUAGUGAACCAGGGCUUUGCUCACCCAGCAUGUGAAGACUGCUUUGGCUGAACAGAUGGAAGAAACAAAUAAGAAGGUUCAACGGCUGAGAUGGCCACGCAGCAAAGCACUGUGGAGUGCUUAGGGCGUGUUGGAGCACAAAAGACAACAUGGCCAUCCAAUGCAGCUGAGGAAGUCUCCAGGUGUAACGACUUUUUGUGCCAAUGGACCCAGGCUUCCAACGCCGAGAGAGUGGGACUGUCUCUGUGCAUCGACUUUUCCACUUAAAUCUUCAUACACAGGUGUCUUUGUGCACAAAAACGCACAAAGACAAUCAUCAUCCUCAGUUCGAGAGACAACCAACAACCACUAAUAGGUUUGUACCCCAAAGAGAAAAUACAAAAUGAUUGUACAAAAAUAUUCAUAGCCACACUCUGUGCUGGCAAAAAAUUGGAAAAGGGGAGGGGUCCCUCAAUUGGGGAAUGGCUGAACAAAUUUUGGUAUAGGAUGGUGAUAGAAUACUAUUGUGCUCUAAGGAAUGAUGUACUGCUUGAUUUCUAUAUGAACUAGGAAGACCUCCAUGAACUGCUAUGGAGCAAAAUGAGCAGAACCAGGAGAACAUUGUACACAGAAACUGAAACAUUGUGGGAUAAUCAGAUGUAACUGACUUUGCUACUAGUAGCAAUGCAAUGAUCUAGGACAAUUCUGAGGGACUUAUAAGAAAGAAUGCUAGCCACACUGAGUCAAAGAAUUGUGGGAGUAGAAAUGCAGAAGAAAAACAUAUGAUUUAUCAUUCGUUAAUAUGGGUAUAUGAUUUGGGGUUUUGGUUUUUAAAGAUUACUCUUGUUAAACUGGAAAAAACACAGAACUAGUCAGAAAAACCACCUUUUUAAUCAAGAGAGUUUAGUAUCAUUUCCUCAGGCCUCCACACAGUUAUGCCCUCAAAACCCACACAGAGCCUCAAGAUUCCCCAUGAAAAUUGGGGAACUGAGGAUGGGAGAGUAUAGCUGAUUGGCUUUACAAUGGCUACAAAGACAUGAGGAGUCCUAGACUGGAUUAUCAAGGAGAGGCUGAUGCUUUACAAUGGACGCAAAAGGGAAAGAUCCAGCCAAGAGCUGGGCUACUUUAGAAAGGACUUUGACACAAAGAGAGAAACUACCAGGACAAAAAAGGGUACUUAACAUCUGACUUAAUCUGUUAGGUUUAUUGUUAGUCUGAAACUUGUGAAGUUGGGACUUCCCUCUAGGAGAAAUUCUCCUGUAACUAGGUAAAACUUGAGGUCUUCAACUUUAAAGAUAACUAAACUUGUGAGUUUUCAGAUCCCAUCUGGCUACACUUUUGGGGGUUUCUAUAUUCCAAGUGGACACUAUUACAAAAAUGAAUAAUAUGGUAAUAGUUAUCAAGUGGUAAUACAUGUAUAAUCCCAGUGGAAUUGCUUGUCAGAUCCAGGAUGGGGGUGAAGGGAGGAAAAACAUGAAUUGUGUAACCAUGGAAAAAUAUUUUUAAAUUUAAAUAAAAACUUUUUUAAAGUA
Non-coding RNA from Monodelphis domestica (gray short-tailed opossum), 1968 nucleotides. NCBI's taxonomy places the organism in Eukaryota, Metazoa, Chordata, Mammalia, Didelphimorphia, Didelphidae. The record is from RefSeq and is a predicted model, not a curated record.